GACGAACGCUGGCGGCGUGCUUAACACAUGCAAGUCGAACGGAAAGGCCUGCUUUCCCUUGUGGAUUGCGGGUACUCGGGUGGCUAACGGGUGAGUAACACGUGAGUGAUCUGCCACCAACUUGGGUAUAAGCCUGGGAAACUGGGUCUAAUUCCCGAUAGGACUGCAGGGUGGUGCCGGUGGUGGAAAACGAUUUUCUAGUGGUUGGGGAUGAGCUCGCGGCCUAUCAGCUUGUUGGUGGGGUAAUGGCCUACCAAGGCGGCGACGGGUAGCCGGGCUGAGAGUGUGGACGGCCACAUUGGGCCUGGGCUACGGCCCAGCCUCCUACGGCAGGCAGCAGUGGGGAAUAAUGCACACUGGGCGGAAGCCUGAUGCAGCGACGCCGCGUGGGGGAUGACGGCCUUCGGGUUGUAAUCUCCUUUCGACCGCGAGGAAGCCACCUGGUUGGAAGGGUGGUGACGGUAGUGGUAGAAGAAGCACCGGCUAACUACGUG
Molecule: ribosomal RNA, 494 nt
Filed under: uncultured bacterium
Lineage: Bacteria
Description: partial 16S ribosomal RNA
Rfam family: Bacterial small subunit ribosomal RNA
Source: RNAcentral